Molecule: ribosomal RNA, 1226 nt
Filed under: uncultured bacterium
Lineage: Bacteria
Description: bacterial SSU rRNA
Rfam family: Bacterial small subunit ribosomal RNA
Source: RNAcentral
AGCUGUCUGUACGUGGGGAUAACUAGUCGAAGAUAGCUAAUUCGCAUACGACUUGAGGGUGAAUUGGGGACGCAAGCCUCCAUGCAUAGAGCGACGAGUCGAUAGCUAGUGUGGGGUAAAGCCACCAGCGACGAUCAGUAGCUGUCUGAGAGACGAUCAGCACACUGGGACUGAGACACGGCCAGACUCGACGGGAAGCAGCAGUGGGGAAUUUUGGACAAUGGGCGAAAGCCUGAUCCCAGCAAUGUCGCGUGUGUGAAGAAGGCCUUCGGGUUGUAAAGCACUUUUGUCCGGAAAGAAAUGGCUCUGGUUAAUACCUGGGGUCGAUGACGGUACCGGAAGAAUAAGGACCGGCUAACUACGUGCCAGCAGCCGCGGUAAUACGUAGGGUCCAAGCGUUAAUCGGAAUUACUGGGCGUAAAGCGUGCGCAGGCGGUUGUGCAAGACCGAUGUGAAAUCCCCGAGCUUAACUUGGGAAUUGCAUUGGUGACUGCACGGCUAGAGUGUGUCAGAGGGGGGUAGAAUUCCACGUGUAGCAGUGAAAUGCGUAGAGAUGUGGAGGAAUACCGAUGGCGAAGGCAGCCCCCUGGGAUAACACUGACGCUCAUGCACGAAAGCGUGGGGAGCAAACAGGAUUAGAUACCCUGGUAGUCCACGCCCUAAACGAUGUCAACUAGUUGUUGGGGAUUCAUUUCCUUAGUAACGUAGCUAACGCGUGAAGUUGACCGCCUGGGGAGUACGGUCGCAAGAUUAAAACUCAAAGGAAUUGACGGGGACCCGCACAAGCGGUGGAUGAUGUGGAUUAAUUCGAUGCAACGCGAAAAACCUUACCUACCCUUGACAUGCCACUAACGAAGCAGAGAUGCAUUAGGUGCUCGAAAGAGAAAGUGGACACAGGUGCUGCAUGGCUGUCGUCAGCUCGUGUCGUGAGAUGUUGGGUUAAGUCCCGCAGCGAGCGCAACCCUUGUCUCUAGUUGCUACGAAAGGGCACUCUAGAGAGACUGCCGGUGACAAACCGGAGGAAGGUGGGGAUGACGUCAAGUCCUCAUGGCCCUUAUGGGUAGGGCUUCACACGUCAUACAAUGGUGCAUACAGAGGGUUGCCAAGCCGCGAGGUGGAGCUAAUCCCAGAAAAUGCAUCGUAGUCCGGAUCGCUAGUCUGCAACUCGACUACGUGAAGUCUGGAAUCGCUAGUAAUCGCGGAUCAGCAUGCCGACGGAAUUGGCC